GACGAACGCUGGCGGCGUGCUUAACACAUGCAAGUCGAACGGAAAGGCCCUGCUUUCGUGGGGUGCUCGAGUGCCGAACGGGUGAGUAACACGUGAGUAACCUGCCCUUGACUUUGGGAUAACUUCAGGAAACUGGGGCUAAUACCGGAUAGCAGCUCCUGCUGCAUGGUGGGGGUUGGAAAGUCUCGGCGGUGGGGGAUGGACUGGCGGCUUAUCAGCUUGUUGGUGGGGUAGUGGCUUACCAAGGCUUUGACGGGUAGCCGGCCAGAGAGGGUGACCGGCCACAUUGGGACUGAGGUACGGCACAGACUCCUACUGGAGGCAGCAGUGGGGAAUAUUGCACCAUGGGCGGAAGCCUGAUGCAGCAACGCCGCGUGCUGGAUGACGGCCUUCGGGUUGUAAACCGCUUGCGCCUGUGACGAAGCGUGAGUGACGGUAAUGGAUAAAGAAGCAACGGCUAACUACGUG
RNAcentral lists this ribosomal RNA (468 nucleotides) under uncultured bacterium. RNAcentral's name for it is "partial 16S ribosomal RNA". It matches the Rfam family "Bacterial small subunit ribosomal RNA", at positions 28 to 507 of the family's 1533-position model. The record is from RNAcentral.